RNAcentral lists this transfer RNA (66 nucleotides) under Pycanum ochraceum. Its description in RNAcentral is "tRNA-Glu". It matches the Rfam family "tRNA". From Rfam's summary of the family: Transfer RNA (tRNA) molecules are approximately 80 nucleotides in length. Their secondary structure includes four short double-helical elements and three loops (D, anti-codon, and T loops). Further hydrogen bonds mediate the characteristic L-shaped molecular structure. tRNAs have two regions of fundamental functional importance: the anti-codon, which is responsible for specific mRNA codon recognition, and the 3' end, to which the tRNAs corresponding amino acid is attached (by aminoacyl-tRNA synthetases). tRNAs cope with the degeneracy of the genetic code in two manners: having more than one tRNA (with a specific anti-codon) for a particular amino acid; and 'wobble' base-pairing, i.e. permitting non-standard base-pairing at the 3rd anti-codon position. The record is from RNAcentral. Lineage: Eukaryota; Metazoa; Arthropoda; Insecta; Hemiptera; Tessaratomidae.
AUUUAUAUAGUUUAGAUAAAUAACAUUUCAUUUUCAAUGAAAAAACAGGAGUUAUCCUUGUAAAUA